GAGCAUUUAGUGUAGUGGUAUCAUAGUACCCUCCCACGGUACUGACCGGGAUUUAAUUCCCCGAAUGCGCA
Molecule: transfer RNA, 71 nt
Organism: Ipomoea nil (Japanese morning glory)
Lineage: Eukaryota; Viridiplantae; Streptophyta; Magnoliopsida; Solanales; Convolvulaceae
Rfam family: tRNA
About the family: Transfer RNA (tRNA) molecules are approximately 80 nucleotides in length. Their secondary structure includes four short double-helical elements and three loops (D, anti-codon, and T loops).
Source: Rfam